This 229-nucleotide unclassified non-coding RNA is filed under the name Hevea brasiliensis (rubber tree). Lineage: Eukaryota; Viridiplantae; Streptophyta; Magnoliopsida; Malpighiales; Euphorbiaceae. The record is from RNAcentral.
GUAAUGUUUCCUCCAUAGUAACUUCUUCAUCUCUCAUGUUUUGAAUGGAUGUUUGCAAGAUUAUAAGAUCUUUGUUUUUGUUUGGAUGAUGUUGGUCGGGAUCGAGUUUUGAUGACUUCACUUGUUAUUUAUCUAUUCUUAAAGGAUAUCUCGAUCUAGUUUCAACAUAUGGUUAUCGGUCUGAGUUUGUCAUCUGCUUGUUUCCAUGUUCAAGUUUGCUAGUUCGUUA